UGGGAAAAAAUCGGGGGAUGUUAGUCACCUGAGCUGCUAAAUUCCCAACCAUGAUGUUGAAGCCUGCCUUCCUCGUCCUUUUGGCCUAUUGCACUGGCUUCGGUUCUCAGGCUGCCUUGACUCAAAGCGGACCUGUUUCGGUGGCUCUGGGAGAGACGGCAACCGUCUCCUGUACUCUGCAAGAAGUGGAGUUUAUCAGCACCACCAGCCCAUCCUGGUACCAAGUGAAAACGGGAGAGGCUCCCCAGUUACUUAUCUACAAGUCCAGGGAAAGAGACUCGAGGGUCCCAGAGCGUUUCUCUGGAGAUACCCACGGCAAGACCGCAACACUGACCAUCGCUAGGGUCCAGGCAGAGGACGAAGGAGAUUAUUAUUGUGCCGUUUGGUUUAACGACAGGUGACACUGCAGUGCAGAGUGA
Molecule: non-coding RNA, 419 nt
Organism: Pogona vitticeps (central bearded dragon)
Lineage: Eukaryota; Metazoa; Chordata; Lepidosauria; Squamata; Agamidae
Source: the annotation of a RefSeq genome assembly